This 378-nucleotide long non-coding RNA is filed under the name Fragaria vesca (wild strawberry). Its description in RNAcentral is "long non-coding RNA (FVES_LNC001768)". Lineage: Eukaryota; Viridiplantae; Streptophyta; Magnoliopsida; Rosales; Rosaceae. The record is from RNAcentral.
GAAGGAAAGACCUUGUUGACGGAGCUAGGCCACCAGGCAGUGACGAGCUUGUUCUCGUUGGAGAACAAGAACUUGUUGCAGGCGGCGCCGGCAAAGAUGCAAGCCUUCUCUCCGAAGAGGGAGGUCUUGAAGACUUCGGAAGAGAACUUGUUCAUGCGGUCGAAAAUGAACUUCUCGGGGUGGCCUUUCCAUCCUGUGGACAGGAACUCGUAGCUCUCUCCGAUGACAGGGUAGCCGACCUUCCCGGGAGGGAGGUUGUUGCCGGUGAACUGAGAUCUGUGCCUGUAGAAGAGGAAGAAGAGGGAGAAGGUGAUGAAGGAAACAAAGCCCAAGAGGAGGGUAAGAUAGAAGUUAAGCUCCAUGAUUGAGCUUUCUUGA